This 488-nucleotide ribosomal RNA is filed under the name uncultured bacterium. RNAcentral describes it as "bacterial SSU rRNA". It matches the Rfam family "Bacterial small subunit ribosomal RNA", at positions 28 to 507 of the family's 1533-position model. The record is from RNAcentral.
GACGACGGCUGGCGGCGUGGAUUAGGCAUGCAAGUCGAACGGUAGGAUACCUUCGGGUAUCUGAGAGUGGCGAACGGGUGAGUAACACGUAGGUGAUCUACCCUCAAGAUUGGGACAACCCAGGGAAACUUGGGCUAAUACCGGAUGAAAGCAGCAGUGAUGUUGUUUGAAAGGUGGCGUAAGCUGCCGUUUGGGGAUGAGCCUGCGCUCUAUUAGUUAGUUGGCGGGGUAAAGGCCCACCAAGGCGAUGAUAGAUAGGCGGCCUUAACGGGUGGUCGCCCACACUGGGAUUGAGAUACGGCCCAGACUCCUACGGGAGGCAGCAGUCGAGAAUAGUCUACAAUGGCCGAAAGGCUGAUAGUGCGACGCCGCGUGAACGAAGAAGCCCUUCGGGGUGUAAAGUUCUUUUAUAUGUGAGCAGUGCUUUCUAUGUGAACAGCAUGGGGAGAGAGAUAUUAGCAUAUGAAUAAGCAACGGCUAACUCCGUG